This 68-nucleotide transfer RNA is filed under the name Brookesia minima (minute leaf chameleon). RNAcentral's name for it is "tRNA-Ile". The record is from RNAcentral. Lineage: Eukaryota; Metazoa; Chordata; Lepidosauria; Squamata; Chamaeleonidae.
GGAAAAGUGCCCGAGAACUAGGGACUGCCUUGAUAAGGCAAGAACAGAGGCACCCCUCUCUCUUCCCA